UACGGGAGGCAGCAGUGGGGAAUAUUGCACAAUGGGCGCAAGCCUGAUGCAGCCAUGCCGCGUGUAUGAAGAAGGCCUUCGGGUUGUAAAGUACUUUCAGUCGUGAGGAAGGUGUUAAGGUUAAUAACCUUAGCAAUUGACGUUAGCGACAGAAGAAGCACCGGCUAACUCCGUGCCAGCAGCCGCGGUAAUACGGAGGGUGCGAGCGUUAAUCGGAAUUACUGGGCGUAAAGGGCACGCAGGCGGUUAAUUAAGUUGGAUGUGAAAUCCCCGGGCUUAACCUGGGAAUGGCAUUCAAGACUGGUUAGCUAGAGUCUUGUAGAGGGGGUAGAAUUCCAUGUGUAGCGGUGAAAUGCGUAGAGAUGUGGAGGAAUACCGGUGGCGAAAGGCGGCCCCUGGACAAAAGGACUGACGCUCAUGUGCGAAAAGCGUGGGGAGCAAAACAGGGAUUAGAUACC
This 458-nucleotide ribosomal RNA is filed under the name uncultured bacterium. Its description in RNAcentral is "bacterial SSU rRNA". It matches the Rfam family "Bacterial small subunit ribosomal RNA", at positions 340 to 786 of the family's 1533-position model. The record is from RNAcentral.